RNA transcript from Papaver somniferum (opium poppy), 1510 nucleotides. RefSeq lists it as uncharacterized. The record is from RefSeq and is a predicted model, not a curated record. Lineage: Eukaryota; Viridiplantae; Streptophyta; Magnoliopsida; Ranunculales; Papaveraceae. The transcript has 6 exons.
UGCUGCACCUACUUUGCAGCUUUUGGCAUUUCCCAUAAAAACUUGACAAGACCACACAAACACCACAAAGAGGGUAGUGAAUCAGUGGUAUCCUUUACUUUUAUGAAUUUCUUUGUUAAACAAGUCUCACCUCGAUCUCUUUUAGUGAAUCAGUGGUACACUGUAAACUCACUCUUGAGUCUCUUCUAGGUUGUCUAAUAUAUUCGGAUCUGGUAGCGAAGAACACAAAACAAAUGGAUUGUAAACGGAAUUACCGUUUAGUAUGGAAAACCUGGUGGAAAAAUAAUGAUCAUCAUCUUUGCAAUGUCCACAGGAACCAUUCAUGUGUGUCCUCCGAAAGAGCAGAUCUGGUUUUCACUAUGUACCUCCUAAUAUGAAUGUUUGUAUUAUUGGGCGGAAUGAAGGUAUCUUCUUAAUGUUGAGUUAUAGAAGAACAGAAUUCAAGUUCCUGCCGCGAAAUUGCAUUCAACAAUUUCCCCUCAAUUGUAAAGGGUCGUACAAUGAUGGAUGCAAUUGGAUCAUUGGAGGGCUUCUUUUUUUUGAGUACAGCUUUAAUAUGAAGUCAGAAAACCAACAUAUGACCGACCAACUGCAGCGCCAACUACAAGACGAAGAUAAGGUACUAGCAGAGGUGGUGGAGGAGGAAGGAAAAGUGUGAGAUAGUGAGGCGGAGGAGAUGGGUGUCCGUCAAAGAGAUGAUAAAAAUCUCAAUAGAGUCAGGACAACUUAGAAGAUCUAUAUUACAGAUGAAGUUUCAGAAGCCAUCUACUCAUACGGUAUGAAUUGGGGAAGAAGGCAUUCCCAGCCUGAUGCCUCGGUUCAGGUGAAUCAGAGUUUGAGGGCAGAAGAAAUUCUUUUGGAAGGUAGCUUAAGAAAUUCCUCAAUCUUUACUGUUAUAGGGAUCAGAGUGUGAGGGCUUUUCUGUUGGUUCAAAAUGGGAAGCAUCCAGCAUCCUUGUUAUACGGUGAAGUUCACUUUCCAUUGAUUUCAAUCUCCUCCCUAAAUUUUUUGCUGUCAUUUUCAGCAUUUCAAUCUCCUCCCUAAAUUUUUAGCAACCUGGUAAUGUAACAGACGUAAUGUAAAAUACUUGUCAAUGUACAUAUAACGGUUGUACAUGCAUCCACUUCUACUAGUAGAAGUGGAUUCAUAUCUAAGGUGUCUAAUCUGAAAUUACUUCAUAGGGACAUGUAAAAUUUGGGAAAAUUUCAUUAAGGAAUUAUGGGGGUUUUAUCCUGAACUGGCAAUACUAAGGUAGGGUAGUCGUAUUUAAUAGUGACUUGGGAAAUGAUGACACCAAAUAUGUUAGUAUGAUCCCUUCCUAAUAUGUUGCAGUAGUAGUCAAAAUAUGGACUCUACGUCUUUGUAUUUGCUUUCUUACAGGUAUCCUGGUUGGGCUAAUCAUUUGGGAGAUAUAGGGUAAUCGUUUGGGAGAUAUAUGGUCGAAGACGCACCAUGUUGCCACUAAUGUGCAAGUGCUGUGCAUUUUAUACAGACGCAUCAUAUAAAAUAU